CCGUGGUAGAAGCGGGAGCGGAGGUCGGCGGGCAGGAAGGUGGGAACGCAGCGGAAGCCCUCGAGGAGGUCGUGCGCGACCUGGUCGUGCUCGGCUGGGGGCACGUCGUCGCGGAGGCCGCCGACGUAGACGAACUCCACGUCCGCGCGGCCGUGGUGCGCGCGGAGGCUGUCCUUGACCUGCAGGAGGAGGCUGUCCUGGUCCCACGCGAAGUCCCACCCGCCGCCGCCGGCGCCGGCGGCGGCGCGGCGGGAGGCGCGGACGGGGAGCUGGUUGGCGACGAUGAUGACGCGCUCCCGCGGCGCGUGGGAGGACUGGUCGGCGGCGGAGGCGGCGUCGGAGACGUCGAGGUCCGGCACAAUGCCGGAGGCCGUCACGACGCGCGGUAUCCGGCGGCGCCCCAGCGACGGCAGCGGCUCGCCGCCGCUGCCGCCGGCGGCGAGCUCCAGGAGGUUCGAGUAGGAUCUGGACACCAUGCCCGCACGGGCGACGUCACAGCGAGCUGCCUGCCGCUGAACCUCCAAACAAGGAUUCGAUCUUUCACCGCUCGCCCUCCAAACCAAGAUCCGGCGAACAGUACUCUGGAGAGGGUCUCAAGAAAAAGCUUCGCAGGCAGCUUAAGAAUGAACGGCCGGCGGAGAUGGAAGAGGAUCUGCUGUCCACCAGUCUCCGGCGGCGAAGAGAUAAAUCUCGGCAAGGGAAUCGAAUCCGCAGAGCAACUAGUAACAAUCAGAAAACCGAAAAGGCUGCCCUCCCUCCCUCCCUCCCUUUCCGGAAAAAAAAACCCACAAGCAGCUUUCGGCCGAAAUCAAUCCGGACGACCGAGCAACGACGUCUCAGGUGCUCCAGCUGGGACGGCCACUACCACUACCACACCUCGACAGACCGGCGGCAGGGGGGAGACAGAGUCUCGCGCGCUCGCCGACGACGACGACCCGGUCCUGGACCGGCAUUUGGCCACCUCCGCCUCGCCCUCGCUCUGCAACGCACGGCAGCGCCAGGCAGCCGCUGCCGCAGCCGCAGCCGGCAGGAUGGGUAGGAACCGGCUGGAUGGAGAAGAAAGGAUUUGGCGGGGCAGGGAAAGCAAACCCCGUUUCCAGGAAGGAGGAGGGAUUCGAGCGAGGCGUGGGCUGGCAGCGCCGCUCGCUGGAUAUAGGAGGCGGCGCGGAACGGAAGCGAUUCUUGGCCUCGGGUCGCGUGCAGGGGGCGUGGUGGACUGGUGGUGGUGGC
Molecule: unclassified non-coding RNA, 1230 nt
Filed under: Zea mays
Lineage: Eukaryota; Viridiplantae; Streptophyta; Magnoliopsida; Poales; Poaceae
Description: misc RNA Zm00001eb312030
Source: RNAcentral